Molecule: long non-coding RNA, 450 nt
Organism: Mustela erminea (ermine)
Lineage: Eukaryota; Metazoa; Chordata; Mammalia; Carnivora; Mustelidae
Exons: 3
Source: RefSeq, a predicted model, not a curated record
GGGGUUGUUGCUUAUAGCACUCUCCACUAAUCUAUGCCCCUCACAAAGUAUGGCUUAUGUUGAUGAUAUAUUUUUGGAAUGUUGAUAAGGUCCAGAGCUGACAGCCAAGAAAGAAUUCUUGAGAUGUCUUUGGUGCAAUAAAGGUGAUUGUACUAAAGUACGGGGACAGGACCCGUGGGCAGAAAGAGCGGCUGCAACUGGGGUUUCGAGGAAUGGCUGAUGAUAUACUUGGGACUUGGAGGAGGGCAGCCAGCAGUAUCUGAAGAGUAUCACACACAUCCCACCAAGGAGCAGGACCAAGCACGGUGCCUGGCCCAAACUAUGUGGUGUUUUGAAAAUCAACUGGACAGUUCUCCUGUGCUCAUGGAUUUGGUCUCUGGUUUCUGGUUUUCAGGAUAAUAGCAAUGAAAAAUAUGACCUAAGUGUUGAAAAUCAGUUAAGCAUCUAGCU